CUCUCAAACCUCCGGUUUGGUCCUGCUUCGGCCUAAUAUCAACGGCGCUAGAAUAAGUUUUAGCCCCAUUCUUCUUCCUCACCCUCGUAAGACUACCCGCUGAACUUAAG
RNAcentral lists this unclassified non-coding RNA (110 nucleotides) under Metschnikowia chrysoperlae. RNAcentral's name for it is "partial contains internal spacer 2 and 28S ribosomal RNA". The record is from RNAcentral. Lineage: Eukaryota; Fungi; Ascomycota; Pichiomycetes; Serinales; Metschnikowiaceae.